This 406-nucleotide ribosomal RNA is filed under the name uncultured bacterium. RNAcentral's name for it is "partial 16S ribosomal RNA". It matches the Rfam family "Bacterial small subunit ribosomal RNA", at positions 30 to 526 of the family's 1533-position model. The record is from RNAcentral.
AUUGAACGCUGGCGGCAGGCCUAACACAUGCAAGUCGAACGAGUGGCGGACUGGUGAGUAAUGUAUGGGAACCUGCCCGAUGGAGGGGGAUAACUACUGGAAACGGUAGCUAAUACCGCAUACCAUCGGAUGUGCCCAGAUGGGAUUGGCUAGUAGGUGGGGUAAAGGCUCACCAAGGCGACGAUCCCUAGCUGGGCUGAGAGGAUGACCGGCCACACUGGAACUGAGACACGGCCCAGACUCCUACGGGAGGCAGCAGUGGGGAAUAUUGCACAAUGGACGAAAGCCUGAUGCAGCCAUGCCGCGUGUAUGAAGAAGGCUUUCGGGUUGUAAAGUACUUUCAGCGGUGAAGCGUUACCCGCAGAAGAAGCAACGGCUAACUCCGUGCCAGCAGCCGCGGUAAUAC